CCCCUAGAUGUUCUGGGCCGCACGCGCGCUACACUGAACAGUUCAACAAGUCUUAACCUUGGCCGAUAGGUCUGGGUAAUCUUUGAACGCUGUUCGUGAUUGGGAUAGACCUUUGCAAUUAUGGGUCUUCAACGAGGAAUUCCUAGUAAACGCAAGUCAUCAGCUUGCAUUGAUUACGUCCCUGCCCUUUGUACACACCACCCGUCGCACCUACCGAUUGAAUGGUCCGGUGAAAUCUCGGGACGGCGGCUUGGUCGCUUGCGUCCGACUGCUGAAACUUGAUUAAACCAUNUNAUUUAGNGGAAGGUGAANUCGUANCA
RNAcentral lists this ribosomal RNA (320 nucleotides) under uncultured eukaryote. RNAcentral describes it as "partial 18S ribosomal RNA". It matches the Rfam family "Eukaryotic small subunit ribosomal RNA", at positions 1470 to 1796 of the family's 1831-position model. The record is from RNAcentral.